This 318-nucleotide ribosomal RNA is filed under the name Triticum aestivum (bread wheat). RNAcentral describes it as "partial small subunit ribosomal RNA". Lineage: Eukaryota; Viridiplantae; Streptophyta; Magnoliopsida; Poales; Poaceae. The record is from RNAcentral.
AUGAUUGUUGAUGGGGUGCCGAGACAUAUGUCUGAACUACCUCAUGUGACUGAUGAAAGAGGGCAGGUGGCCGACCCCCUUGAUAUCCAUGCCAUCAAGCUGAUUUAUUGUCUCGAGAAGUGGGCAUUGGGAGUUGUUAAUUGGCUGAACAUGUACCUUCUGGGAGUUGUUUUAUUUGAUGGUCUGGCCUGCUGCACGGCGAUCACGCGGUGGCUGAUCUGGAUCGUCGCGGGUGGGAUGAGGAGUGGAAGACUGCUGUCGCCGGUGGCUGGCCAAGUGUUGGACGUUGCCGUUCUCCGCGUCGACGGCCGCCUCUAA